ACAAAUUCCAUUACCAAUAAAAUAUCAUAUUUAGCAUCCUGUCAUUUGUGAAUAUACACGUACAUCUUUUUUCAUUUCAAUACAUAUAUAUAAUAAACAAAAGCAACUUCAAAUAUAUACACACACAUUAUAAUUAUAUAUUAAAUAAUAUAUUUGAAGCUCCUCUUGUUUCUUAACUUUUCCCAUAAAGUGAGGUUACACUAUAUGGAUAGACUAUUACAAAACAGUCAUUAAUUAUUCCAAGAAGAAAAAUAAAGACAACAAUAACGAAAAAGAAAAAAUAUGAAACUCCAGCUCCCUCCGGUUUCAAAACGAGAACUAGGACAUUUUAACCAAGAAGCACGCUAUAUACCACGUACAAUACUGAUGCCACUGUGCCCAGCGAUCCGAUCCAUUACCUAAACAGUUCGGUUCAACGACCACGACCGAACAGUGUUUCGUGACGAGAGCAGCGGAACAAUGAAAAGUGCUGUUCUAGUAUCGAGGACAAAUAUUACUUUCCAAGAGGAGAGUCGAAGCACGACGAGCGUCGAGGAUCCACGGUUUGUCCUGUGUAACUGUUCCAAAGAUUCUUUCGUCGCGGUCCGCUUGGCACGAGAAGUCGGCCGUGAUCGUUGCCCGUCUAGGAUCAAAGUUAAGGCCACGCUGCGGGAUUUCCUCGAGCGCGGGAAACACGCUCGCGGACGGCAGAUUAAAGACGUAUCAGCGUUUUAUGAGAUUUUAAUGAGCAAACGAGUUUGCCGAGCGAGCCGUUGCUCUUGUUCUGCAACGACGGCGGCCGUCGGAUCAGCGAAGCGUGGUCCGGCGCGUUGGCCGCCGUUUUAUAAAACGCGAUGUGCUCGCCGACCGAGCAAAGUUGGCAUAAAUUUGCAUCCGCGCGAUAAUCACACGGGAAAAUCGUUAAAAAGUCAUCCAUCUCGAACAGAAGUUUCAGGGACCUCAAAAGCCCAAAUGGCAGCGGGAUUUUUUAACCCGCGCUUUUAAGAACGUUUUGACAAAACGAUUUACCUGGCCGCUUAUUGUUCUCAAACGUUCUAUUGAAAUUUUCGGCUAUUUGUCAGACUGCGAUACUUGCCGGUUUUUGAAAAAGGCACUUUAGAAAGUAUUUUAGUAUUUUAUCGCUCUUACUGUAUCGCAAAAAUUUGUUAACUGUGACGUAUACCGUGAGAGUAAUAUUCUUUGAACUCUUCGAACAUCGUACAGAUUACAUUGCCAUAUAACACACGAUUAACAGUUUCAUUUUCAAGAUUGCAUCAGCGUUUAGGUUUGGUAACACAUUGUGUAGGAGGGCGCUCUGCGCGCUCAACGCGCUCCCAGGGCCUGCACAUUUUGGAACGCUCCAGUAGCAUGCUUGCAUAUGUGCAGAUUUUUAAUUUGUAUUUGGUAUUAUAGUUUUUAUUCAGUCUCCUUCAGUUCCUUUAUAUCUAUGUGUUAUUUGGCUACUUUUAUAGAAUUACGACUUAUUUCAUAAAAUAAUUCGUGUUAUAAAUGAUUAGUAACAGAUUGAAAAUUUAAAUGAUUUUUAACAAUCUGUUUUCUUACAAAUUAAAACACGAACCUUGAAAUAACAAAAUGUACAAAAAUAAAACACUUUAUGAGAUACGGUAGACGAUCGGCGCAGAUCUACCGAUGUACUGGCUAUACUGACUGAUUGUUUUUACUUGGAAUGUCAACACUCAGUUGUUUUGCCACAAGAAUGCGCAAGGCUUUAUUACCCUGGUAACGUAACAAAAACAUUCGCCUCUGGUUGCUUAAGCCAUCGAUUCAGUCGAAAAAACAUGGAAACUAGAUAUCUCGUGACUCAGCCACAACGUUCGGCUUGCUAAAAACGAGAUAGCUCGUGACCCGUACACAAUGUGUUAAUAACAUCGACACGAGCGAGAGAAGCGGCUGCAUGGUAUUGGUAUACGUGUUCUACUAUACACAUUAUCAUGCUUUCUCUCUUUUCUUUAUUAAAAUAUGUCCUCUAAACAUUCCACGUUAUUUUUACUUUUAAAGAAAAUCCCAAAGAAAUUCGUCUCUUCGUCAAAUAUACUUCACGAAGAUUAACAUUGCGUUCAACGAGGCAAAAUUGAUUCGCACACUUUCACUGUGCCCGCUCGCAAAGAAGCUGUCUUCUACUACGCGUAUCGGACUAUCCAAUGCAAUUGCAUACCGGUACAGCCCUUAUUUUCUGCAAAGGUGCCCGCGGAACCCUUCAUUCCUCUAUCUCGGCUAAUUUAAUAGCGUAUCGGGAAGGAGUAACGACUGGCGGAAAAAGCGUGCAGCUAUUUGCACGCCGGUGUCGCGGCUUUUUACCGCGCCGAUCGGUCGAGUGGUACGCGAGGGUUGCGCGACCGUGCGAGAAGCGGCGCGAUAGCUCGCACGCAGGGCCACAGUUUAUGUGGGCUUUUCGAGAUGGUGAUCCGAGAUGUGCGGCGUGCGUGCGUCAUGCGGAUCAGUACCGGAUAUCCGUGAGGCGACUACAGCCGAGGCGGGAUAUGCGGGCGCAGUUGUACCGAGCCGUGCGGAGAAGAGUAUAUACAGCGACUUAAAAACUGUUGCAACAUCCUUCGAAACUUUCGACUAACUUCUCCAACACAUCGAGGACAAAUUCGCGUCUUAUGAUAUAUAAUUAACCACUUCAAUAAUUUUUAGACUCCUUUGUCAUUUUUAAGUAAAUGAAUAUUACUCCUCGAUACUUGGAAAAAUGCCCGUUAGAUAGCGUGUAGGUUGGUUUGUUGUAGGUUGGAAACGUAUGGCUCGCUGUGGCGCGCGCAGUUGGCUAAGUGUUAACCCUUUGCAUUCGGAAUUUUAUUUCAAUUUCGUUAUCAGCAGCUCCCAACGCUUUUAAGUGUUUUAAUUGAAAUUUACUUUAUCUAAAACAUAAGACAAUUUAAAUAAAUAAAGGAAGAGAGAAAUUCACUUAAAUACCAGUUUUAUUCACACUAUUGUUGUAUUUUCUAAUUUUUAAGUGUACGAUAUAUCUUGAAACAAUUUCCAGGAUGCAAUCCUGGUUUUCUUUCGCAUGUUUUAUAAAAAACAUGAAAGAAUGUCGAGUGGGACUCGACAAAGGAGCUCCUGAGAUAAAAACUGAUGUCGAGUCAUACUCGAUAUAGGAGUGCAAAGGGUUAAAAGAGAAAGAGGCAGGAAGAAAAGUAGGAGAGAAUGGAAAUUUGGAUGUGUGGUAGAGAUUAGGGCGAAGGUGACAGCGGAGGUGAGGAGGUUAAGGGCGUCGCGAGAGAACAGAUACACGUGGAAUUGAGGAGCAGUUCAGGUUAUAUUGCCCUGUUUCGCCACCUAUCCGCGGAAUUUAGUUUCAGAAAUCUGUCACGUGGUUCAGUAAUGGAGUGCGUAGCUAACUACAAGCGACGGCGAGUAUAUUCGUCAAACGCAUUCAAUGCGUUCAGUUCAAAUUUAUUUCGAAUCCAGUUCGAAAUAUCGGCAACAGGAAAAGUAGUUCUCUGUACGUAGCUUCGAUAAUGCAACAAAAGUGUCAACGCUUGGACCACCAUUUUGCCAACCCAAUACUUGUCGAAAUACUUGCGGACGAUGGUGUAUGUUGGAUCGUUUGAAAGGACGCAACGACGACAUUCCGCGGAUGGAAAAGAAGGAGAGUUUACGACUCGGUCGUGCGAUUUGACGAUAUUCCGAGAGAAGUGUGUGACGGGCAUAAAUUUCGUCGGCGAGAGAUCGAUAAACGUUGCUUUAUGGUUUCCUUGAUUUCGCUCGUUUACUCUGUGCUCACGGUGGAACACGAGGAAAGUAAUCGAGAAGGUUUUAUCGUCGACACGAAGGGGGUCCCUUCGUUUCAACGUUCAUUGUUUAAUUGUUCGCGUUUUAUUCGCAGAGAUUCGUAAGAUGGAGAUCCUCCGGCUGCUUUAAAUCAAUAUACACCGGUGCGUACAGACAAACGAGGAAAGUGUUCGUAACAGAGAAGCGAAUUGUUCGACCACCUGCCGCUUUGCUGUUCCAAUGUUUGAACAUUUUACUAUUACAGUCGAGUCUGCUGUAACUCGAGCCUCAAGGGAAGACCUGCAUUCUUCGAAUUACAGAAGUUUCGACUUAUCAAAAUUUCCAGUAAAACAGGCAUAGCAAAGGAAAAUUCGACAUACAGAAGUUUCAGACAAAGGGAAAAUUCAAGAGUGUUUGUAGAAAACACUAUGAUGGUGUUACAGUGUUGUCUUUGUAGAAAAAUAUAUGGACAAAUAAACAUUAGUUAACUA
Molecule: long non-coding RNA, 4205 nt
Organism: Bombus huntii
Lineage: Eukaryota; Metazoa; Arthropoda; Insecta; Hymenoptera; Apidae
Exons: 2
Source: RefSeq, a predicted model, not a curated record